This 253-nucleotide ribosomal RNA is filed under the name uncultured bacterium. RNAcentral describes it as "partial 16S ribosomal RNA". It matches the Rfam family "Bacterial small subunit ribosomal RNA", at positions 524 to 776 of the family's 1533-position model. The record is from RNAcentral.
UACGUAGGCAGCGAGCGUUGUUCGGAUUUACUGGGCGUGAAGCGUGCGUAGGCGGUGGUCCAAGUCUGGUGUGAAAUCUCCCGGCUUAACUGGGAGGGUGCGCCGGAAACUGGGCCGCUGGAGUACGGGAGAGGCAAGCGGAAUUCCAGGUGUAGCGGUGAAAUGCGUAGAUAUCUGGAGGAACACCCGUGGUGCAGACGGCUUGCUGGACCGUGACUGACGCUGAGGCACGAAAGUGUGGGUAGCAAACAGG